This 462-nucleotide ribosomal RNA is filed under the name uncultured bacterium. Its description in RNAcentral is "bacterial SSU rRNA". It matches the Rfam family "Bacterial small subunit ribosomal RNA", at positions 28 to 484 of the family's 1533-position model. The record is from RNAcentral.
GAUGAACGCUAGCGGCAGGCUUAACACAUGCAAGUCGAGGGGCAGCGUGGAGCAGCAAUGCUCUGACGGCGACCGGCGGAAGGGUGCGUAACACGUGAGCGACUUGCCCGUCACAGGGGGAUAACCGGCGGAAACGGCGACUAAUACCCCAUAUGAUGCGAUGCUGCAUGGCAUUGCAUUGAAAGAUUCAUCGGUGGCGGAUAGGCUCGCGGGACAUUAGCUAGACGGCGGGGCAACGGCCCACCGUGGCGACGAUGUCUAGGGGUUCUGAGAGGAAGGCCCCCCACACUGGGACUGAGACACGGCCCAGACUCCUACGGGAGGCAGCAGUGAGGAAUAUUGGUCAAUGGGCGGAAGCCUGAACCAGCCAUGCCGCGUGAAGGACUAAGGCCCUACGGGUCGUAAACUUCUUUAGACGCAGAGCAAUAAGGUCCACGCGUGGACCGAUGAGAGUAUGCGUAG